UGGAGGAAAGUAGGGGAUCGAAAGACCUUAUGCUUUUGGAGCGGCCGAUGUCUGAUUAGCUAGUUGGUGGGGUAAUUGCCUACCAAGGCGACGAUCAGCAGUUGGUCUGAGAGGACGACCAGCCACACUGGGACUGAGACACGGCCCAGACUCCUACGGGAGGCAGCAGUGGGGAAUUUUGGACAAUGGGCGCAAGCCUGAUCCAGCAAUGCCGCGUGAGUGAAGAAGGCCUUCGGGUUGUAAAGCUCUUUCAGUUGAGAAGAAAAGAUUGUAACUAAUAAUUACAGUUCAUGACGGUAUCAACAGAAGAAGCACCGGCUAACUACGUGCCAGCAGCCGCGGUAAUACGUAGGGUGCAAGCGUUAAUCGGAAUUACUGGGCGCAAAGGGUGCGCAGGCGGUUCUGUAAGUCAGAUGUGAAAUCCCCGGGCUUAACCUGGGAACUGCGUUUGAAACUACAAAGCUAG
Molecule: ribosomal RNA, 466 nt
Filed under: uncultured beta proteobacterium
Lineage: Bacteria; Pseudomonadati; Pseudomonadota; Betaproteobacteria
Description: bacterial SSU rRNA
Rfam family: Bacterial small subunit ribosomal RNA
Source: RNAcentral